Molecule: non-coding RNA, 29 nt
Filed under: Cricetulus griseus (Chinese hamster)
Lineage: Eukaryota; Metazoa; Chordata; Mammalia; Rodentia; Cricetidae
Also listed under: 1 other name
Source: RNAcentral
GGUCAAAACUCCCGUGCUGAUCAGUAGUG